GAUCUUAGGAACCCUCUUAGCAUUUCUGGAAGUUUAGUAAAAGAGUAAAAAUUUGGCUAGUGGUAGUAUUUUCUCCAACAAAAUCUUAGCUUCGAUCGUUGGGAAAUAGUUAACUUGUUGUCACCACAGAAGAUUCACACAACAUCACAGAUGUUGCAGAUUUCUUAAGUUAAAGAACAACCCGUAUUGCGCAAACUUGUAUGCGCAAUUAGUAUACCCUUCACCGAACAGCCUAUCAUUAUCUCCGAUCUCAUCUUCAUUGCGCACCGAAACGACUUUCACUCGACCAAGCGCUUUGGACGGUGGCGGUGGCGAUGGUGGUGGUGCGCUAUGUGAUUCGUCUUCAAAAAAACAUCACCGAUAAUGCUCUGGCGUGCCCGUUUGACCACGUUUUGGCGUUCUGCGUCAGUGAUCGCACAGAGACAAGAACGGUAGUUAGUGACUACAAUUCCUAAAAGCAACGAAAAUUCGAAUCAAUGCAAAAACAACAGCCGAUUGUGUGGUGUAUGUGUGUAAUGGGGGAAAAAAAUGAGGCACGUCUGCUAGAGCGAAGAAGAUGAAAAACAAAAGCAUAAAACUCCAAAUUUGACCCCCCCUCAUGUUGUGGGCACGUUGUCUGGAGUGGUGAUAAGACCGGUGGCAAUUAUUGUGUCGGAUGACGAACCGACUGAUGUCUUUGGUAGUGGUGCGCGAUUGCGUCCCAAAUGAGCUCGCGCAGUACAGACGUGAGGCAGAUAGGGAUGGAACAGACCAACCACCGACUGGCAACAGAGCCUUACGCGAGCGCGCGCGCGCACCUACAAGAUUGCGAUGUGAAACAUUUCAAGCAAAAAAUAAACAAAAUAAAAAGAUAAAGAUUAACGUAUGAGAAAGAUUAACACAGAACUACGCACAAGCGCGCGCGCGCGCUCUCGCUUAGCGGUAGAGCGAACAUCGAACAAAUGAAUCGAACGACCAGAGAACUUUGUAUUGCAUGUAGUGCGCGACAUUAAUUAUGAAAACGAAAGAUUCCAUUCCCAACUUCUCUUGCAUCUUGCUUUGCGAAACGGUUUGCAAGCUUGAGAGGAAACGAGAAAAUAAGGGGUUCUCACUAACAUUAACACUAUUAUCCUUUGCUCUUUUUUUUCUGUAUCGAAUCGUCGGCGAAUCAUUUGCAAAAGAGGAUCGCCUAGAUCGCGGUGGGCAAUCCUGUGAUCACUAUGUAAUAAACGCCUAGCCAGGCCGCAGGAAUAACAUUUUGGUUCUGUUUUGUGUGUAUGUGUUGUUUAUUCGGUAAAAAACAAUAAAAUAAAAUAAAGCCCUGUACUUAUAUGAACAUA
This is a long non-coding RNA of Anopheles funestus (African malaria mosquito), 1319 nucleotides long. RefSeq lists it as uncharacterized. Lineage: Eukaryota; Metazoa; Arthropoda; Insecta; Diptera; Culicidae. The transcript has 2 exons. The record is from RefSeq and is a predicted model, not a curated record.